CCUACGGGAGGCAGCAGUGAGGAAUAUUGGUCAAUGGGCGCAAGCCUGAACCAGCCAUGCCGCGUGCAGGAUGACGGUCCUAUGGAUUGUAAACUGCUUUUGUACAGGAAGAAACACUCCCUCGUGAGGGAGCUUGACGGUACUGUAAGAAUAAGGAUCGGCUAACUCCGUGCCAGCAGCCGCGGUAAUACGGAGGAUCCAAGCGUUAUCCGGAAUCAUUGGGUUUAAAGGGUCCGUAGGCGGCUUAAUAAGUCAGUGGUGAAAGCCCUACGCUUAACGCAGGAACGGCCAUUGAUACUGUUAGGCUUGAAUUAUUAGGAAGUAACUAGAAUAUGUAGUGUAGCGGUGAAAUGCUUAGAGAUUACAUGGAAUACCAAUUGCGAAGGCAGGUUACUACUAAUGGAUUGACGCUGAUGGACGAAAGCGUGGGUAGCGAACAGGAUUAGAUACCCUGGUAGUCCACGCCGUAAACGAUAGAUACUAGCUGUUGGGAGCAAUUUCAGCGGCUAAGCGAAAGUGAUAAGUAUCCCACCUGGGGAGUACGAACGCAAGUUUGAAACUCAAAGGAAUUGACGG
Molecule: ribosomal RNA, 576 nt
Filed under: uncultured bacterium
Lineage: Bacteria
Description: bacterial SSU rRNA
Rfam family: Bacterial small subunit ribosomal RNA
Source: RNAcentral